GUUACAAUGGCAGGUACAGAGGGGUGCUACCGGGUGCCGGAUGCCGAUCUCGAAAACCUGUCCCAGUUCGGACUGGAGUCUGCAACCCGACUCCACGAAGUUGGAUUCGCUAGUAAUCGCGCAUCAGCCAUGGCGCGGUGAAUACGUUCCCGGGCCUUGUACACACCGCCCGUCAAGCCAUGGGAGCCGGGGGCGCCUGAAGUCCGGGACCGCGACGGACCGGCCUAGGGCGAAACUGGUGACUGGGGCUAAGUCGUAACAAGGUACC
Molecule: ribosomal RNA, 268 nt
Filed under: uncultured bacterium
Lineage: Bacteria
Description: partial 16S ribosomal RNA
Rfam family: Bacterial small subunit ribosomal RNA
Source: RNAcentral